Daucus carota subsp. sativus is the source of this 644-nucleotide long non-coding RNA. RefSeq lists it as uncharacterized. The transcript is spliced from 3 exons. Lineage: Eukaryota; Viridiplantae; Streptophyta; Magnoliopsida; Apiales; Apiaceae. The record is from RefSeq and is a predicted model, not a curated record.
AGCUGAUUUUCACCCGUAAAAUCAUUUCACCAGUUUCUCUGCACGAAUACCGAGAGAAACCGAAGUGUGUUCUUCGUGUUCUUCGUAAUCAAAUGAGGAUUUGGAGGUGUUAUUGGAAUCCGAUGGAGGCGUAUGAAUAGUCAAAACGAAGCUCUCGACGCGUAGAAUAUAGUAUAAUCAACUAUAACGUUGCAGAUUCAUCAGGGUUUGGACGAGACGGAUACGAUCGAAGACGUUCAGAAGGUCAAACGAUGUUACAAAGCGAAUAAGGAACGAAUCGAGUAAACGAAGCAGUGUGGCGAAUAGAGUAUAGCCAAAGAUGGUCUAGAGACUAUGAUAUGCAUAGAGUGUGAAAGUGGAAAGAUGAGAUUGAGAUAUGAGACUGGAAUCGGAUUUAAGAAAAGCUUAGAGUUGAAUUGAGAUUGCGAGUAUGGCUAAGGCUAAGCGAGGAGUCAGAGUCAUAGAAUAUCCAGAGGACAAGUGGAAUGUUCAGGGAGAUUGACAAGGUUGGUUCUAGAUAGAGUUGUAUUAUGGAGAUUCAGUUGUAAGUCAUAAUUGAGGUAGACUGGCAGUGAUUCUUCUUAUCGAAGAUGAUCUGAGUUUGUAAGAUAAUGUUUAUUAAUAGUGGUUGAUUCUAAUUUCAA